RNAcentral lists this ribosomal RNA (484 nucleotides) under Rana graeca (Greek frog). Its description in RNAcentral is "partial 16S ribosomal RNA". It matches the Rfam family "Bacterial large subunit ribosomal RNA", at positions 1837 to 2538 of the family's 2925-position model. Lineage: Eukaryota; Metazoa; Chordata; Amphibia; Anura; Ranidae. The record is from RNAcentral.
GACAAAACAUAAGAGGUCCAGCCUGCCCAGUGACAAAGUUCAACGGCCGCGGUACCCUAACCGUGCGAAGGUAGCAUAAUCACUUGUUCUUUAAAUGAGGACUCGUAUCAACGGCACUACGAGGGCUAUACUGUCUCCUUUUUCUAAUCAGUGAAACUGAUCUCCCCGUGAAGAAGCGGGGAUCAAAAUAUAAGACGAGAAGACCCCAUGGAGCUUUAAACUCACUAUACACCUCUGUGCCUUUAUGCCACUAGACACAAGAGAUCUGCGUACUAGUUUUAGGUUGGGGGGACCACGGAGUAUAAUUUAACCUCCAUAACAAAUGGGCUAACACCCUUAUCUACGAGACACAACUCUAAGAAUUACUAAACUAAUGCUUAUGACCCGAUAUUCGAUCAAUGAACCAAGUUACCCUGGGGAUAACAGCGCAAUCUACUUCAAGAGCCCAUAUCGACAAGUGGGUUUACGACCUCGAUGUUGGAUC